GAUUUGCUUCAUGACACGAGUUACGAAUAGAUGAUGCAGCUCCCAUCGAAGACGCUUCACUUCUUCCCCACCGCACCAUCGUCGGCGCCACGUCCGUAUUCGGUCGGUAAGUCGUGACACAAGUCAGUUACAACCCUGGGAAGAGAGGAGAGAAAGCAGCAAUCGGAAGAUCCUCGGAGGAGAGACAGUAGCGAAGAAUCAUCAUCAAUCGCGUAAUCCGAUCCCGGAAUAGGGUCAUCCUUGAAGGGAAGAAUCGUCAUCAAGCGCGCAAUCCGAUCCCGGAAUAGGGUCAUCCUCGAAGGGAAGAAUCCGGUGAAAAAGCACAUUAAUUGAAGCUCCUCCUCAUGUUUCGAAUGUCCAAGUGGCCCAGUCACUGGAUACGAUAAGGAGACUAUGUAGGAUUAUCUAUAAUUAUCUGGAAGAUGGAACUAAGGUCACAGUGUCUACAGGACUAGCAGCGUCUGGAGCCAGAAUUCCUCACCUGAGAUAUUAAAACACAAGAGAAAACUUAGACCCAACAAUGGUUUUCUGCUGCUGCUCUGAACACUGUUGUGUUCUUCAAUUUCUACAGAGUGCCGAACUAUUUGGCUUCUUUUUCUUGCAGUUGGCUCCAAGGAUACACUGUUUGAUCAUGUACUGGAAACAAACAUACGAUGUUAAAGGGGAAUAGACAUGUCUGAUCUGUAGAAGUCCUGACUAGCCCUGGAGAUUCUGCUUGAUUGGCUGACAUUGAGGUUCAUAUUUGGGAAUUGGGACAGUACUCCGUAUAAUAGAUGUUCCAUUAGAGAUGAAUCGGCUCAAUUUGUGUCGGUGCUUGUCCCCAUUACACUGAAUUGUUCCUAUCCAUGGGAUGUGACUGGGGAUUAUGGAGAUCAAGACAACUGCAUCUACUUCCCAAACUGGGUCUUCAAAUGCUAUUAUAUUUCCCUUUGGCUUGUGGUAAAGAAGUGGAGAACUUUCCUGCCCCUGAUAUAGGACAUUACGAUAGGGACGGACUGUUUCAUGCCAGCAUUUGCAACUAUUCUCACUGUAGAACACAGGUGGGAUGCCUUCAUCACCAGUUUGAAGAGCUCCAUGGGAGCCGAGAAGAAGGGGCUGUGAUCGGUCUCCAUGACCAACACCUCAUCCGGUGGCCACCUCCGGAUCAUGGCGUCUUGCUGCUGUGGGUUCACCAUGUUGUCAUGUGUGGUCUUUAUGUACACUCGUCUUGCUUUCUCCAACCCCUCCACUUUGUGGAACCUUGUGCUGGGUAGAGUGGCCGGCCAUGGUCGUAGUAGCAUGGAAGCCAACGUGGAGUCCUGAGCCAUGCAACGUAACACAUGUUGAGACUACAAAUCUAUAUCUUGUCGUACUUAUCACUCGAUGACUCGACACAAAGAAGGAAAAUACAUCUUUGGUUAGACCGGUAAACAUCGAUCGAUGCUUGUCGAUCAGACUAUUUUAUAUUACAUCAGAUCUAAUCUAAUGAGCAUUGUCAGGAUUUGUUACCUCAA
This is a long non-coding RNA of Musa acuminata AAA Group (dessert banana), 1493 nucleotides long. RefSeq lists it as uncharacterized. Lineage: Eukaryota; Viridiplantae; Streptophyta; Magnoliopsida; Zingiberales; Musaceae. The record is from RefSeq and is a predicted model, not a curated record. The transcript is spliced from 8 exons.